UCCCUAGUGGCUCAGAUGGUAAAGCGUCUGUCUGCAAUGCAGAAGGCCCGGGUUUGAUCCCUAGGUUGGGAA
Bos taurus (domestic cattle) is the source of this 72-nucleotide non-coding RNA. The record is from Rfam. NCBI's taxonomy places the organism in Eukaryota, Metazoa, Chordata, Mammalia, Artiodactyla, Bovidae.